This 2403-nucleotide long non-coding RNA is filed under the name Homo sapiens (human). RNAcentral's name for it is "HSALNT0301776". The record is from RNAcentral. Lineage: Eukaryota; Metazoa; Chordata; Mammalia; Primates; Hominidae.
GCAGUCGGCGUCCGCCCUCGCUUGAACGCGUCCCCCUUGCGCCCGGGGGGCGCUGCGCUCCCUCCAGGAGAGGACGCUGCGUCUAAGUCUAAGAGCCUCCAGUGGAAAGUCCCGGAAGCCCUCCCCUGGGCUUGAGAUUUUUGCUGGCUGAAAUGGAGCCUGGAAGUGCUUUUCUGUGGUUUAGAUGGGGAAGGAAUGGGGGAAAGAAACGGUUCGGGAAAGGGGAGAAUGGAGGGGAGAAGAGGGAAGGAAGAUGGCAGGAGCCUCGGAGGUCAGGCUUGCAAGCAAAGCAAACACCAGGCUCCAGAGGGGUUUGCAGGCUACAGAACACCGAGUUUCGAGAGAAUCACAUGUUUAUCUUCUCUUAAAAUUCUCAUACUGAACGAUCUGGAUGUGACUCAGCUCACGCAGUCGCUAGCUGUGGCACCGUGUGAGCUACUUAACCUCAGAAAGAGUUUCAUCAUCUGUAAAAUGGGCAUCACGGCCUUGUGGAAUGGAUUAAAAGAGCCAAAGUGCAUAAAGCUCACGCAGUAUCCUUUAUAAGCAGUUUGUAGGUCUCCUUCCUUGAAUUUCUUUCAAGCUCCCAAUAGCCAACGGGAAGCCGAACACACUUUCACACUAAAAAUGGGAAUUCAGGGAAGUAUCAUCAGGUUCUGAACUAUGUUUUAAGACUCAAGUCAAACACCAAAACUGAGUCACCACCUAAUGUGUGUGCAGCACGUGUUAGGGGCAGUUUGCUAUGUGAUGACUUGAACGACAGUUUCUCUCUCCUGGGACUUUCAUAAAAUUCCUUUGGUGUUGCCACACACUUCUGGGAUUCUCCACAAUGAGCCCAUUGCUGAGCCUGUCUCUGCAGAUGUUUAUUAAACAAGCAGAAUUUAGGGGAAUAGUCAGCAAGUCUUCACCAAGUUCUUCUAUGUGGGCAGCUUUUGUGGUGUGGCCAGGGUAUGAGGAUAAAGAGCAACUUGGAAAAGUCUGGGGAGAAUUUAAGUAGCCUGAAGAGUCUCUGUCCCUCAGGGAGGAAAGCUGAGAAAUCGUUUCCAUAUUUAUGUGUCAAUUGCUUUAUGUCCAUUUAUUUGAUCUUCCUUACAAAAUCUUGCAUAGAAAAUUUCAUCCUCAUUUUACAGAUGAGGAAACUGAAGCUUAGAGAGCUUAGGUCACUUACCCAAGUUCAUCCAGGUAGCAAAGUGUCAGGUCUGGAUUUAAAUCAGGUUGAGUCCAGUACCUUUUUCUUUUUUAUAUCACGCUGCCUUUCCCUAGAAGCCAAAAUUUCUAGGAAAUAAAUGAACUGCAAUGACAAAGCAGCACAUUUUCCCAUGUUCUUUGCUCUUGAUCCCUACCUACUCUUUUCCCGGAAAUAGACAAUAAAGCCACCAGGAUACCUGAGACAGCCUUGGUCAUCUUUGUACCGUAGCCAGCACCAUGGAUUUUUGCCUAGUUACUUUCCCAUCAGAUUUUAACAGAAAGAACACUGUAUUUGCCAGCUCAGUACAGCAUAUCUCUGGCUCUGUUUUCUCCCCAGCAGGAAUCCGAGGGUCUGUCUCUGUAUGUGUUAUCAUCAGACUGGUAAAGAGUUACAUGUGUCAGCACAGAAGAAAAGAGCUUUGAUGUGAGUUCAGCAUGUAAGAAAGCCUUCAUUGCUGUCAUGCUUUCAACAGGUUCCCCACGACCCACCACUGCCUGCCAAGAUGAAUGUAAAUGAAGCAGAAGUCUCACAGGGUAAAUUCAGCUUCCCACGACCUGCAGUUGGACAGGGUGGCAAGGAGAUGAUGAUAAUUCCAUGGCUCCCAGCUUAAUUUCUCUUGGGGAGGGGUAUGUGGACUCUUGCUAUCCUGGAGUCCAUAUCAUGCAGGACUCCGGAACAUAAAAGGCAACAACAGUGAAGUGAGUGCCUGUUACAAACAAGGCUCAACUCAAAGCUAACAAUUCUUCUUUAUUAGGAUACCACUGAUCAGAGCUGCAAAGUGUACUCACAUCUGUCAUUUCGUGUCAUUCUUACAUAAAUCCUGUAGCUGGGCACAGUAGGAAGAAGCAUUCUCAUCAUGGCCACUUAGCUUGCUCGAGAUUACACAGAACCAUGCCUCUGGUUUCCUGGUACAGUGCUCCGGCAGGUGACGGAUGCUCCUGGGUGACAUAUCACGGAUCUCUCUGAGGUUGUUAAGAAUGAUCCUCUGUGACUGCACUAAAUAUUUUUUAAGUUGCAUACUGAGGUGUUGCAGAAGUUACUUUAUUAUUAAAAAAACAGCCUGGGAACUGAAGCCUAGAAAUGGGAUAAGAAUUAUAAUUUCAAGACAAAAGCAAGCAACUGGGUCAGAGAAAUGAUACAAUGAUUAACCUUCAUAUGUGGUCUGUACUUCAUCCAAUGAAGGGUGUAACAGUAAAAAAUAAAGUAGAAUGCACACA